CUCAGUAACACGUGGAUAAUCUGCCCUUAGGUGGAGGAUAACCUUGGGAAACUGAGAAUAAUGCUCCAUAGAUCUACGAUGUUGGAAUACACAUAGAUUGAAAGUUCCGACGCCUAAGGAUGAGUCUGCGGACUAUCAGGUUGUAGUCAGGGUAAGGACCUGACUAGCCUACAACGGAUACGGGUUGUGAGAGCAAUAACCCGGAGACGAUAUCUGAGACACGAUAUCGGGCCCUACGGGGCGCAGCAGGCGCGAAACCUUCACAAUGUGCGAAAGCGCGAUGAGGGAAUCCCAAGUGCUUGCACUUAAGUGUAAGCUGUUUCUUUGUUUAAAAUGCAGAGAGAGUAAGGGCUGGGUAAGACGGGUGCCAGCCGCCGCGGUAAUACCUGCAGCUCAAGUGGUGACCGCUAUUAUUGGGCCUAAAACGUUCGUAGCCGGCUGAGUAAAUGCUUGGGUAAAUCGUGCCGCUUAACGGUACGAAUUCCGGGUAGACUACUCAGCUUGGGACCGGGAGAAGCUAGAGGUACUCCUGGGGUAGAGGUGAAAUUCUGUAAUCCUGGGGGGACCACCAGUGGCGAAGGCGUCUAGCUAGAACGGGUCUGACGGUGAGGGACGAAACCCUGGGGCGCGAACCGGAUUAGAUACCCGGGUAGUCCAGGGCGCAAACGCUGCUUGCUUGAUGUUAGCUGGGCUCCGAGCUCAGCUAGUGUCGGAGAGAAGUUGUUAAGCAAGCUGCCUGGGAAGUACGAUCGCAAGAUUGAAACUAAAG
Molecule: ribosomal RNA, 769 nt
Filed under: uncultured archaeon
Lineage: Archaea
Description: bacterial SSU rRNA
Rfam family: Archaeal small subunit ribosomal RNA
Source: RNAcentral